RNAcentral lists this ribosomal RNA (253 nucleotides) under uncultured bacterium. Its description in RNAcentral is "partial 16S ribosomal RNA". It matches the Rfam family "Bacterial small subunit ribosomal RNA", at positions 524 to 776 of the family's 1533-position model. The record is from RNAcentral.
UACAGAGGUCUCAAGCGUUGUUCGGAUUCAUUGGGCGUAAAGGGUGCGUAGGCGGCGAGGUAAGUCGGAUGUGAAAUCCCGGGGCUCAACCCCGGAACUGCAUUCGAUACUGCUUUGCUUGAGUACUGGAGAGGAGACUGGAAUUUACGGUGUAGCAGUGAAAUGCGUAGAUAUCGUAAGGAAGACCAGUGGCGAAGGCGGGUCUCUGGACAGUUCCUGACGCUGAGGCACGAAGGUCAGGGGAGCAAACGGG